Molecule: long non-coding RNA, 1051 nt
Organism: Nyctereutes procyonoides (raccoon dog)
Lineage: Eukaryota; Metazoa; Chordata; Mammalia; Carnivora; Canidae
Exons: 2
Source: RefSeq, a predicted model, not a curated record
UCCUGCUCCCGGCUGUCCUGCUCCCGGCUGUCCUCCUGGCUGUCCUGCUCCCGGCUGUCCUGCUCCCGGCUGUCCUCCUCCCGGCGGUCCUGCUCCCGUGGGGCGAGGUGCACGGCAGUAGCGCGCCCCUGGAGACGGGCCGGAAAUCCCCCUCAUGACUCCACACGAUGGAUUCCCAAAGACCAGGUGGACGGGGAGACCACGUGCUUUCACGCUUUGAAUUCCUUGUUUUUGCCGCGGGGCCAUUUUACUUAGGAAGGAAGGACGCAAGGCGUCACACGCCCGGCCGGCCCGUCUCCUCUUACGUGGGACAUUCCUUCCACGCUUCACACCGAUACGUAGCGGCCACCGGUCAGCAGGUGCAGGAGCAGCGCCCGCUGACACACUGGGCCACCGACCUUCACCUCCAGCCCUCGGAGAGGGUAGAGCCCGGAGCCGGGCAGCGAGACCCGUGAGGGGCUGUGAACAUCGUCUCCUCCAGCCAAAGAUCGAACUCAGGCGGGCGUCACCAUGAUGAGCGGCCACUGGGGCUGCAGGCGGCCUGUUGCCCGACGUACUGGUAGAGGAGCCGUGAGGAGACAGAGCGGAGGGCGACGGGCAGGGAGCGUGUCGUGCUGCUCCUCGACGGCGCUGAGCCUGGAGGGGCUCGACGGUAGUGGCGCGAGGAAGUCAGUUACCUGGACGUCACCAGGUCCCUGGUAACUCGGGGCUUCCCAGCCCUCCGAGCCUCCCUCCUGCCCGCGUCCUGCCCGCGUGCGAGGGGAAGCUCUAAUGUGGGGCCCACGCCGUGGCCCAGGGGGUACCCAGAGCCAGGGCGGGAUCGCUUAGUCCUGUGCCCACCCCGUCCAGUCCCCCCCACUGGCACGACGAGGCUGAGCCCCUAAACCCGUCUCCUGACCGAGGCGCACCUGCUCACCUGUGCGCCGGCUCUCGGCAGCCCAGCCCGGCAGCAGCGCCGUGGCCCCUUGCUGGCACACGCUUAGGUUUCUGUACUGACGCCAGGUACACAUUUUUACCUUUGAAUAAAAAUGUUUUCCUCUCCAAGAUUUUA